This 505-nucleotide ribosomal RNA is filed under the name uncultured bacterium. RNAcentral describes it as "bacterial SSU rRNA". It matches the Rfam family "Bacterial small subunit ribosomal RNA", at positions 29 to 524 of the family's 1533-position model. The record is from RNAcentral.
AGUGAACGCUGGCGGCAGGCCUAAUACAUGCAAGUCGAACGGCAGCACAGCAGAGCUUGCUCUGUGGGUGGCGAGUGGCGGACGGGUGAGGAAUACGUGGGAAUCUGCCCAGUCGUGGGGGAUAACGUAGGGAAACUUACGCUAAUACCGCAUGCGCCCUUCGGGGGAAAGCCGGGGGACCUUCGGGCCUGGCGCGAUUGGAUGAGCCCACGUCGGAUUAGCUAGUUGGCGGGUAAAGGCCCACCAAGGCGACGAUCCGUAGCUGGUCUGAGAGGAUGAUCAGCCACACUGGAACUGAGACACGGUCCAGACUCCUACGGGAGGCAGCAGUAGGGAAUAUUGGACAAUGGGCGCAAGCCUGAUCCAGCCAUGCCGCGUGAGUGAAGAAGGCCCUCGGGUUGUAAAGCUCUUUUGUCCGGAAAGAAAGCGCCGGGUUAAUACCCUGGUGUCCUGACGGUACCGGAGAAUAAGCACCGGCUAACUUCGUGCCAGCAGCCGCGGUAAU